GAUGAACGCUGGCGGCGUGCCUAACACAUGCAAGUCGAACGGACAGACGAGACGCUUGCUUGUUUCAUGUUAGCGGCGCGCGGGUGAGUAACACGUGUAUAACCUACCUAUAAGACGGGGAUAACUUCGUGAAACCGUAGCUAAUACCGGAUAAUAUUUUGAACCGCAUUGUGCGGAAGUGAAAGACGGUCUUGCUGUCACUUAUAGAUGGAUCCGCGCUGCAUUAGCUAGUUGGUAAGGUAACGGCUUACCAAGGCAACGAUGCAUAGCCGAACUGAGAGGGUGAUCGGCCACACUGGAACUGAGACACGGUCCAGACUCCUACGGGAGGCAGCAGUAGGGAAUAUUGCGCAAUGGGCGCAAGCCUGACGGAGCAACGCCGCGUGUGUGAUGAAGGUCUUCGGAUCGUAAAACUCUGUUAUCAGGGAAGAACAGAUGUGUAAGUAAACGUGCACAUAUUGACGGUACCUACUCAAAAAGCACCGGCUAACUACGUG
RNAcentral lists this ribosomal RNA (497 nucleotides) under uncultured bacterium. Its description in RNAcentral is "partial 16S ribosomal RNA". It matches the Rfam family "Bacterial small subunit ribosomal RNA", at positions 28 to 507 of the family's 1533-position model. The record is from RNAcentral.